UUUUCUUUGGUAGCAAUACCGAGGAAAAUUUAGUGGCGAACGGGUGCGUAACACGUGGGCAAUCUGCCGAGAAGUGGGGGAUAGCUCGCCGAAAGGCGAAUUAAUACCGCAUGUGGUCAGGGAGGACAUCCUUCCGAAUCCAAAGCCGGGGUAACCUGGCGCUUUUUGAGGAGCCCGCGGCCUAUCAGCUAGUUGGUGAGGUAACGGCUCACCAAGGCUUUGACGGGUAGCUGGUCUGAGAGGACGACCAGUCACACCGGAACUGAGACACGGUCCAGACACCUACGGGUGGCAGCAGUCGAGAAUUUUUCUCAAUGGGGGAAACCCUGAAGGAGCGACGCCGCGUGGAGGAUGAAGGCUUUCGGG
This 366-nucleotide ribosomal RNA is filed under the name uncultured bacterium. RNAcentral describes it as "bacterial SSU rRNA". It matches the Rfam family "Bacterial small subunit ribosomal RNA", at positions 67 to 422 of the family's 1533-position model. The record is from RNAcentral.